ACUCACCUUAUUAAGUCAGGCUCAAAACUAACUUGACUCAGCCUGACGCAGCAUGGCUUAGUGCCGACUGGGUGUAAUUCAAUGUAAGUUCGCUCCUACACAGCUAUUCUCUCGAACUCGCUAGAUCCACGGCCUCCCUGGCAAGGUUCCUAGGAUUGCCGAACCGGAAUUGACCCCAAACUAGACCUGACUCGAUCUUGGGCUAUGCAGGUUGAUUCGCUGACUUGAUUCAGCGGAAACAAUAGCUAUGGUUGGGUCCACUAUGCAAUCCAUCGGCCUGAGCCCCACAUAAUGCUUUUCAGGACGCCCCUCAAUUACCAGCAGCAUUAGGAGAAUAAUCAACAAAUGGUCAUUGGCUGUCUUUUAUCGAGGAUCAUACGGCAUGUCUUUAGAUAAAUGAACAGUUUUGCAUAUGCUCUAUCUAGCAUGGGUGCAGAUUCUUCCCUCUGUUACAUGCCAUACAUUACAAGACUACUUACUAUAUUAAUGGUUAUGAUUAACUGUACAUUUUUAUUGAUGGAUGUAGCUGUUGUUUUUGGCUUGAUUUACCCUGGUCUAUCUUGGCUCUUGAUUUAGUUCUCGUGCUGAACUUUGAAAUAUGGGAGUGAGCUAUAUAGCUCAAGGUUACUGAUGUUUAGCUUUCUUCAAGCACCAAUGAUGUUUUUCCUUUUUUCUGAAAAAAUAAAUAAAUCUAGAGAGUGAGUUUUAGUUUUAACUUGUGCAUCUGCCUUUUUUUUAAAUGAACCAUUUAUUCCACUAUGCAUAUAAAAGAAAAGAUCCCUCAGUUCUGUAUUUGAUUGUGGUGGAAAAAAUGAACUACAGAAUGGUCUGGAUAAUCCAAGUACCAAUUUCCUUUCCACAGUGCAAGUGGCAAAACUCAGUAGAUUUUUAUUUGUUGCAACUCAUGUAGCACUAAAUCAAUUGGUUUAAAUUGAAUCUUGUGUCCGUAAGAUUCAGAAACAGAAAACUAAGAGUAGUUGAAUUCUGAGUUGCAAGGUGCAUCUUGCUGAAGAACCUGUUAAGGUGACUUGGUUAUGGAUAUGAAAUCAUGGCUAUAAUUAGGAAAAUAAUCCCUGCAAGAUCCAAGGCGCACUUCUUGCUUAAUCUUUUCCCUAAAUAGCCUAAUUCUAAUUUCUACAUUAUAAUGGUUUGCCAGUUAGGUAUAAUCAGGAUUUUCAUGUUGAUUUUUUUUUUUCACGAAUGCUUACUUCAGUUUUCACUUCAUUGACAUUUCUCUGUUUUCCCCAUUUGGUUUAGCCUCGUGCUAUUCCAUAUCCUGGAGUGUUUUUUUAUUUUUUUAUUUUUUUUAUUUUUUAUUUUUUAAUUUUUAGUUUGGGAUUUUCUAAGUCAGAAAUUCAGAAUAUGAAUAUUUCUCAGCCUUAUUAUUAGCUUUUCUUUUUCUCCUUUUUCUUUAUUGUCACCCUCCCUGAUAUGAUGGAUAUACAGGUCAAUGAUGGAGGGUAUUUGGGUUAGUUGGCAUCCACAUAACCUAUCUGGACCAUCCAUUAGGUGGAGUCUGAAACUAAUUGCAUUGAAGAUCAGUGUACGAGAUUGAAAGUUUGAAUCCCUCUAGUCUCAUACCAUGCUUGCCACCCAUUUUACAUCUCUAGUUGGAUCAAUGCUUAGCUACUUAAUGAGAGUCUGAUACAAAAGACACUUUGGACCAUGUUUUGUGGCCCAAGGAAUGUGGAUAUGCAGCUGUUAUCACGGAAGUUCUGUCAGCUCCCUUGUCACAGUACACGUGGCAAAUGGUGGCGAUCAGGGUUGUUGAUUUGGUGGCCACCAUGUAAAUGGGCCAUAAGCCCUAAUACAAGUCAUAAUUUUCUAGUUGAAUGUGGAUUGUUUCUUUUGCAUCCCAAUAUAGGAUAACUACCACAGACCAAUCCCCUUUCCUGUUGGGAUAUGGUCUUACCCAUGUAAUGGCCCAUCAGAUCAACAUUCCCAAUCAUCACAUGUAGCUACAUAGAACUUCUAUGACGAGCUGCAUGUUAUCAUUCCUGAUUUCUUGUGGCUUAUAUAUAUAUAUAUAUAUAUAUUACUAACUGGUAAUCUUGCUUCCUAGGAGGAGGAAACCAAGUAAAAAGAUGCCAAGGCAAGCACCUAGUGUUUCCUCAUCUGCAUGUUGGAUUGGUGCACAAAACUGACUGUUGAGUGCUGACUGUAUUUGUUCAUUUGCAGGAACCCGAUUUACUCCUUCUGGAUGAGCCUACCAAUCACCUUGAUCUAGAUACAAUUGAGUGGCUUGAGGGUUACGUUAACAAGCAGGAUGUUCCUAUGGUCAGAAUAUCUAAUGAAAGAGCUUUCCUUGAUCAGCUGUGUACAAAAAUUGUGGAAACAGAUAUGGGAGUAUCAAGGACAUGAUGGGAAUUAUUCUGAAUAUAUAUUAGCAAAAGCGGCAUGGAUAGAAGCUCAAAAUGCAGCAUGGGAGAAGCAGCAGAACCAAAUUGAGUAGACGAAAGACAUAAUAAACAGGUUAGGUGCUGUAGCCGAUGCUGGCCGUGCGUCCAGUGCAGAAAAGAAGCUGGAAAAACUUCAAGACAAGGACCAAGUUGAAAAGCCAUUUCAACGGAAACAAAUAAGGUCAGGUUUCCUGCGCAUGGAACAAUUGGAAGAUAUGUAGUAAUGAUUAAGAAUCUAGAAUUUGGAUAUGAUGACAAGGUGUGUAAUUUUGUUAUGUGAUACAAAUUUAUUUAAUUACUAUGGCAUUUCAUUUUAUGAUUGGGG
Molecule: long non-coding RNA, 2724 nt
Organism: Magnolia sinica
Lineage: Eukaryota; Viridiplantae; Streptophyta; Magnoliopsida; Magnoliales; Magnoliaceae
Exons: 4
Source: RefSeq, a predicted model, not a curated record